Trachemys scripta elegans is the source of this 616-nucleotide long non-coding RNA. RefSeq lists it as uncharacterized. The transcript has 3 exons. Lineage: Eukaryota; Metazoa; Chordata; Testudines; Emydidae. The record is from RefSeq and is a predicted model, not a curated record.
AACAGGUGCUAUGACGAGACUCAGCAGGGAAAGAAUAUGGAUAUGCAGUGAGCCCCUGUUCACCCUGGAGGGAAACUAGUUAUUCUCUCAUCCCUCCCUCUCCUGAGACGUCAGCAUAAUCUGACCACUCUUAAAAUGGAAGGUUCAACCACGGGGAAUCCUGACUUUGCCCUGCUGACAGCACAGGCUUUUGCAAAUGACUCCCAAAUAUUCCUCAAACCCCAGUAAAGUACCUUGUUACCCUCUCAGUGCUCUGACCUGAUACUCUGCCUCUGCAGGCAGGCACAAGAAGCCUGCUGUAUCAUACAGAUUACAGCUGUCGCUGCUAGAACAGCAAAGAGGGUGAAGAGAAGGAUCUGGUAAGAGCCCAUAAGCUGUUGGACAAUUCCUGCUUCACUGCACGGACCUAACAUUUUCCAGAAAAAGGAGUGUUUCCAAACACAGAAGUAACUCAAUCAUUUCUUGAAGAAUCUCCCACAAGGGACUGCUCAGACCGCACCUACUGUACCGGGAUCAGAUUUUCCCUACAGAUACAUCCUAAACAGAAGGAAGAAAGGUAUGUGUAUGCCCCAGGAAUGGAGGGGCAGAGAGCUUUUUAUGUACCUCCAGCUUUUCU